This 269-nucleotide small nuclear RNA is filed under the name Salvator merianae (Argentine black and white tegu). RNAcentral's name for it is "7SK RNA (ENSSMRG00000021632.1)". It matches the Rfam family "7SK RNA". Rfam says of the family: 7SK was discovered as an abundant small nuclear RNA in the mid-70s but a possible function has only recently been suggested. The record is from Rfam by way of RNAcentral. Lineage: Eukaryota; Metazoa; Chordata; Lepidosauria; Squamata; Teiidae.
GGAUGCAAGGGCAUUCUGGCUGUGACAACUGUCAUUCUAUUAAUCUCCUGGGCUGAAGUAGCUGGAUAGGCAGGUAGAUCCUCCCUCCAUCCCUUCUCUGUGUGUGUCCCUCCCGAAUGGAAGCUGGACUGUUGAUGGAAGAGGAUGGCCAUCCAGAUAUAAACAUGUGAUUCUUCAGCUAAGGGGUAUCCGAUAGCUGUAUUCCCUGCUAGAACCUCCAAACAAGGUAAAGGUGCAUUCCUAGAAGCCUGAGUUGCAGUUUACCUGGG